Molecule: long non-coding RNA, 215 nt
Organism: Octopus bimaculoides (California two-spot octopus)
Lineage: Eukaryota; Metazoa; Mollusca; Cephalopoda; Octopoda; Octopodidae
Source: RefSeq, a predicted model, not a curated record
AGCUUGCUCUCAUAAUUAUAUUCUUUUUGACUGGUGACUUCGUUGAUGUCUGUGUGUCUUUUCUCACAAUUUGUGCUCUAUUGUGCCCUAAAUACGGUGAUAUACCCCCGAAAUAGCCAUAGGUGUUCUGUGUUUGUGUUCCACCUAUACUCGUAAUCCACUGUAAAUGAUGUUUAUGGUUUGACUUUACUGAUGUUACCUGCGGAAUGGUGAAA